UGUCCUAUGUUAAUUAUAAAGUAAAUUCAUCGUACUGAAUGCAAACUUUUGCAUAACAGACUCUAUUUACACCUAUAGAAUCUGAGCAUUA
This is a small nucleolar RNA of Camellia sinensis, 91 nucleotides long. RefSeq annotates it as small nucleolar RNA snoR8a. NCBI's taxonomy places the organism in Eukaryota, Viridiplantae, Streptophyta, Magnoliopsida, Ericales, Theaceae. The record is from RefSeq and is a predicted model, not a curated record.